Molecule: ribosomal RNA, 228 nt
Filed under: uncultured Lactobacillus sp.
Lineage: Bacteria; Bacillati; Bacillota; Bacilli; Lactobacillales; Lactobacillaceae
Description: partial 16S ribosomal RNA
Rfam family: Bacterial small subunit ribosomal RNA
Source: RNAcentral
GAGAUCGGGAUAACACCUGGAAACAGAUGCUAAUACCGGUAUAACAACAGAUGAUGCCUAUCAACUGUUUAAAAGAUGGUUCUGCUAUCACUCUUGGAUGGACCUGCGGUGCAUUAGCUAGUUGGUAGGGUAACGGCCUACCAAGGCGAUGAUGCAUAGCCGAGUUGAGAGACUGAUCGGCCACAUUGGGACUGAGACACGGCCCAAACUCCUACGGGAGGCAGCAGC